RNAcentral lists this non-coding RNA (22 nucleotides) under Rattus norvegicus (Norway rat). The record is from RNAcentral. Lineage: Eukaryota; Metazoa; Chordata; Mammalia; Rodentia; Muridae.
CUACUGAGAUGUUUUCAUGGUC